Molecule: long non-coding RNA, 230 nt
Filed under: Pelobates cultripes (western spadefoot toad)
Lineage: Eukaryota; Metazoa; Chordata; Amphibia; Anura; Pelobatidae
Source: RNAcentral
AUUAGCAGCGUAGUCAAGGAAAGCCAAAGUCAGGGGAAGCCAGAGAUCAGAGUAGUCCAGGAGGAAAGCCAAGGUCAGAAGCCGGAAUCCGACAGGAAACGCUGGAACGCUGAUAAGAAGAGACAGGAACCAAACAAGGAAACCAGAGUCAAUGAACUGACACUGCCCUCAGGGAGAGGCAGUGUCUUAUACCUGGCUAAUUGGUGAUCAGCCACAGAAUAACGUCCAGC